CCUACGGGAGGCAGCAGUGAGGAAUAUUGGUCAAUGGGCGCGAGCCUGAACCAGCCAAGUCGCGUGAGGGAAGACGGUCCUAUGGAUUGUAAACCUCUUUUGUAGGGGAGUAAAAGAAGCCACGUGUGCCGUUCCGAGUGUACUCGAAGAAAAAGGAUCGGCUAACUCCGUGCCAGCAGCCGCGGUAAUACGGAGGAUGCGAGCGUUAUCCGGAUUUAUUGGGUUUAAAGGGUGCGCAGGCGGAAGAUAAAGUCAUCGGGAAAAUUGGGAGGCUCAACCUAUUCGUGGCGUUGAUACUGGUUUUCUUGAGUGAGGUGGAGGUAGGCGGAAUGCGUGGUGUAGCGGUGAAAUGCAUAGAUAUCACGCAGAACUCCGAUUGCGAAGGCAGCAUACCGGCGCUCAACUGACGCUGAUGCACGAAAGUGUGGGUAUCGAACAGGAUUAGAUACCCGGGUAGUC
This 459-nucleotide ribosomal RNA is filed under the name uncultured bacterium. Its description in RNAcentral is "partial 16S ribosomal RNA". It matches the Rfam family "Bacterial small subunit ribosomal RNA", at positions 338 to 795 of the family's 1533-position model. The record is from RNAcentral.